This 175-nucleotide ribosomal RNA is filed under the name Osteocephalus taurinus (Manaus slender-legged treefrog). RNAcentral's name for it is "partial 16S ribosomal RNA". The record is from RNAcentral. Lineage: Eukaryota; Metazoa; Chordata; Amphibia; Anura; Hylidae.
ACGUGAUCUGAGUUCAGACCGGAGCAAUCCAGGUCAGUUUCUAUCUAUAAGGGAGGAUUUUCUAGUACGAAAGGACCGAAAAAACAUGGCCUAUACUUCAUGCAAGCCAUAAUUAUUAACUUAUGACUAAAUCUCAAUAAGCACUUAAUCCACUGUAAACCUCAAGAAAAGAGGA